RNAcentral lists this ribosomal RNA (253 nucleotides) under uncultured bacterium. Its description in RNAcentral is "partial 16S ribosomal RNA". It matches the Rfam family "Bacterial small subunit ribosomal RNA", at positions 524 to 776 of the family's 1533-position model. The record is from RNAcentral.
UACGUAGGGGGCUAGCGUUGUCCGGAAUCAUUGGGCGUAAAGAGCGCGUAGGCGGCCAGAUAAGUCCGGUGUGAAAGUCAAAGGCUCAACCUUUGAAUGCCGCUGGAAACUGUCUGGCUAGAGUCCGGGAGGGGCGAGUGGAAUUCCUGGUGUAGCGGUGAAAUGCGUAGAUAUCGGGAGGAACACCAGUGGCGAAGGCGACUUCCUGGCCUGUUCUUGACGCUGAGGCGCGAAAGCUAGGGGAGCAAACGGG